GCUGGGAUAAGUUUGGUUGGUAGAGCACGAGGCUCUUAAUCUCAGGGUCAUAGGUUUGAGCCCCACGUUGGGCG
Non-coding RNA from Podarcis lilfordi (Lilford's wall lizard), 74 nucleotides. The record is from the annotation of a GenBank genome assembly. Lineage: Eukaryota; Metazoa; Chordata; Lepidosauria; Squamata; Lacertidae.